GCUUUCGUGGCCGUGGCAGCCGCCCACCCGAUGUGCGAAUUCCUUCGAUGGCUGAACAGUGGGAGCGGAGGUUCGAUUCCUCCCGAAGGCA
Mycena filopes is the source of this 91-nucleotide non-coding RNA. The record is from the annotation of a GenBank genome assembly. NCBI's taxonomy places the organism in Eukaryota, Fungi, Basidiomycota, Agaricomycetes, Agaricales, Mycenaceae.